Molecule: long non-coding RNA, 459 nt
Filed under: Salvator merianae (Argentine black and white tegu)
Lineage: Eukaryota; Metazoa; Chordata; Lepidosauria; Squamata; Teiidae
Description: lncRNA (ENSSMRG00000018223.1)
Source: RNAcentral
AUUAGUGUUAGAUCCCGUACUUUUUGUUUUUAGUCUUUUCCACUGCUCUACCCAAGCCAAAGAGAAGAUACAGAACAGUACAAGGAGUUCUGAUAAAUACAUUGUUUAUCAACCAGCUACUAUCAAGUGGANUAGGCUGCUUGGGAUCAUGGUGUCUGUGCUCAUGUACUCAUCUCAAGAUCCUAAAAGAGCUGAAAAGGAAAUCUGGCUACUCACCCAUCUUCCACUCACCAUUUGAAUCCAUCAUGCUUCUACAAUAAUCCAUAGUCAUAAGAUAGGUAUAUUUCUCUCCCCAUCAUGUUCUUCUGAAGUGUUCUACAAAUUGCCACAUCUCACAUCUGAUCUUUCCUGUUUUGUUCUCCCNCUUUACAAAAGGAACCCUAUGCCUNUUGCCCAUAAUAGAUAUAGUAUCUUUGUUGUUGCCUUGUUAAUAUGCUUGUAAGCUAAUAAAAAUGCCCU